AACGAACGCUGGCGGCAUGCCUAACACAUGCAAGUCGAACGAGACCUUCGGGGCUAGUGGCGCACGGGUGCGUAACGCGUGGGAACCUGCCCUUAGGUUCGGAAUAACUCCCCGAAAGGUGUGCUAAUACCGGAUAAUGUCUUCGGACCAAAGAUUUAUCGCCUUUGGAUGGGCCCGCGUUGGAUUAGCUAGUUGGUAGGGUAAAAGCCUACCAAGGCGACGAUCCAUAGCUGGUCUGAGAGGAUGAUCAGCCACACUGGGACUGAGACACGGCCCAGACUCCUACGGGAGGCAGCAGUGGGGAAUAUUGGACAAUGGGCGAAAGCCUGAUCCAGCCAUGCCGCGUGAGUGAUGAAGGUCUUAGGGUUGUAAAGCUCUUUUACCCGGGAUGAUAAUGACAGUACCGGGAGAAUAAGCUCCGGCUAACUCCGUG
This 433-nucleotide ribosomal RNA is filed under the name uncultured bacterium. RNAcentral describes it as "partial 16S ribosomal RNA". It matches the Rfam family "Bacterial small subunit ribosomal RNA", at positions 29 to 507 of the family's 1533-position model. The record is from RNAcentral.